GAACCGUCUCUGGAAGAGCCCACCUGCGCAGCCCGAGCUGUCGCGUAGUAGAACACUUACCCUGGAUGCACCCUCUGCUCCCAUUCGGCCACCCCUAACUAUCAUUCUUUUGUUCUUCCGGUUACUGCGUAGUAAUGGAACAAAUACGUCGACUGUACAAAAGGAAAAAAGACUGGAGAGCUAGAAAGCAAAAAAAGAGAAAAGUUCUGUUUGGAAUUCUACUCGAGGAAAACAUGUCAUUUUGUUUAGCAGCGAUGGCUAUGUGUCAGAAAAAGAAGAAUGUUUCAUGAAUUUAGGAUUAAGAUGCUAUUCAGGAUUAAUUACUUUUAAAGAGAAAGAUGUGACCAUGUUUCGGCAUCUUCAACUAAAUAAAUGUUUAUAAUUAUAAUCAGAUAAAA
Molecule: long non-coding RNA, 398 nt
Organism: Stegodyphus dumicola
Lineage: Eukaryota; Metazoa; Arthropoda; Arachnida; Araneae; Eresidae
Source: RefSeq, a predicted model, not a curated record